AGAGGGGAACUCUGGGGCCAACAGACCACCAGGAGAGCCGCACUCUCCUCAACACCAUUGUUCGCAACAUCCAGACCAACGACGUCUACGGGCCGAUCAACCUGCUGAUCCGAGAGAUCAAACGGCGUCCAGAAGGGCUCAAACGACAGACCGUGUACAGACUCUGACUCUAACUUUGUGCACUUUCUGAAGAAGAGAAGAUGUCUGAUGCGUCGUGAGCUGUGAAUGUCUCUCAGGAGCAUCCCGUGUUUGGGACGGGAGAACAUUGGCGAAGAAGAGUGAAAUUAAAUGGCAUCUCUGUGUUGCUGACAUGCAGAGGGUUUCAACAGGGAGGCCUUUGCAGUGCAUCGCUGGUCCGCUCCCUCUCUUCUCCCUGCACUUCUGAAGAUAGAAUCUUUCAGGGAAACGAUUUACAGACUUUGGAUUUUAAGUACAAACACUUGAAGGCAGUUGACUCACAGCAUGUAGACCUCACAGUUUCAACAAGCACUGUUGGAUUCUGAAGGCCCCGCAGAGGUUCCCAGCUGCUUUCUGCAUGGAGGCUGUGCAAACACAUGGUCUUGGUCACUCAGGGCUGUGAAUUCAAUUCCUGAAGAACUUCAUCACCAUUCUCUGCAGGAAUAUCGCAGCAAGCCUCUCUCUGUCAUCAUAAAGGAUCACAGUCAGUCCGUCAGUCUGGUUGUAGAUGAGAUGGAAACUUAACCAGGAACCCACAUGCAGGACAUACAGAAGAAUGACACCAGAAUGUCCAUCCAUUGCUUCAAGUCUGUCAGAAGGAAGAACAAAUCAUAAGUUGCAAUCAACAGCUGCAGCAAUUAUACGUUAAACAUUGUAAGUUAUCAAAACUCUGCCUGCCUGCUUUUAGCUGGUGACUCAUAACAAUAACAGCUUUUUUUUGGUACUUUACCAAAAAUUGUGACCCCCUCCCCAACUCAAAUAUAAAUAAAGACUUUCUUCACUUAAUAUAAAAAUGUAAAAGACUUUGAUUACGCCUGUAAACAAAUAAAAAUAAUCAAAAACAGUCCCAUAAUCCCAUAAUGACUUACAUAGAUUAAUCAUCAUAGAAAGAUCAUAAUAAUCAGGGCUGGACUGGGACAAAAAAAUUGGCCUGGGCAUUUUGACUAG
Neolamprologus brichardi is the source of this 1125-nucleotide non-coding RNA. Lineage: Eukaryota; Metazoa; Chordata; Actinopteri; Cichliformes; Cichlidae. The record is from RefSeq and is a predicted model, not a curated record.